UGCCUACGGGAGGCAGCAGUGAGGAAUAUUGGUCAAUGGACGAGAGUCUGAACCAGCCAAGUAGCGUGAAGGAUGACUGCCCUAUGGGUUGUAAACUUCUUUUAUAAAGGAAUAAAACGAGGCACGUGUGCCUUUUUGCAUGUACUUUAUGAAUAAGGAUCGGCUAACUCCGUGCCAGCAGCCGCGGUAAUACGGAGGAUCCGAGCGUUAUCCGGAUUUAUUGGGUUUAAAGGGUGCGUAGGCGGAUUUUUAAGUCAGCGGUAAAAUGUCCGGGCUCAACCCGGGCCGGCCGUUGAAACUGGGGG
RNAcentral lists this ribosomal RNA (305 nucleotides) under uncultured bacterium. RNAcentral describes it as "bacterial SSU rRNA". It matches the Rfam family "Bacterial small subunit ribosomal RNA", at positions 335 to 639 of the family's 1533-position model. The record is from RNAcentral.